UACGAAGGGGGCUAGCGUUGCUCGGAAUCACUGGGCGUAAAGGGUGCGUAGGCGGGUUUUUAAGUCAGGGGUGAAAUCCUGGAGCUCAACUCCAGAACUGCCUUUGAUACUGAAGAUCUUGAGUCCGGGAGGGGUGAGUGGAACUGCGAGUAUAGAGGUGAAAUUCGUAGAUAUUCGCAAGAACACCAGUGGCGAAGGCGGCUCACUGGCCCGGUACUGACGCUGAGGCACGAAAGCGUGGGGAGCAAACAGG
Molecule: ribosomal RNA, 253 nt
Filed under: uncultured bacterium
Lineage: Bacteria
Description: partial 16S ribosomal RNA
Rfam family: Bacterial small subunit ribosomal RNA
Source: RNAcentral